UUCGGCUCGUAAAACUCUGUUAUUAGGGAAGAACAAAUGUGUAAGUAACUGUGCACAUCUUGACGGUACCUAAUCAGAAAGCCACGGCUAACUACGUGCCAGCAGCCGCGGUAAUACGUAGGUGGCAAGCGUUAUCCGGAAUUAUUGGGCGUAAAGCGCGCGUAGGCGGUUUCUUAAGUCUGAUGUGAAAGCCCACGGCUCAACCGUGGAGGGUCAUUGGAAACUGGGAAACUUGAGUGCAGAAGAGGAAAGUGGAAUUCCAUGUGUAGCGGUGAAAUGCGCAGAGAUAUGGAGGAACACCAGUGGCGAAGAAGACUUUCUGGUCUGUAACUGACGCUGAUGUGCGAAAGCGUGGGGAUCAAACAGGAUUAGAUACCCUGGUAGUCCACGCCGUAAACGAUGAGUGCUAAGUGUUAGGGGGUUUCCAACCCUUAGUGCUGCAGCUAACGCAAUAAGCAGUCCGCCU
This 466-nucleotide ribosomal RNA is filed under the name Staphylococcus xylosus. RNAcentral's name for it is "bacterial SSU rRNA". It matches the Rfam family "Bacterial small subunit ribosomal RNA", at positions 417 to 874 of the family's 1533-position model. The record is from RNAcentral. Lineage: Bacteria; Bacillati; Bacillota; Bacilli; Caryophanales; Staphylococcaceae.